This 84-nucleotide transfer RNA is filed under the name Nitrososphaerota archaeon. Its description in RNAcentral is "Thaumarchaeota archaeon tRNA-Ser". It matches the Rfam family "tRNA". Rfam says of the family: Transfer RNA (tRNA) molecules are approximately 80 nucleotides in length. Their secondary structure includes four short double-helical elements and three loops (D, anti-codon, and T loops). The record is from RNAcentral. Lineage: Archaea; Thermoproteati; Nitrososphaerota.
GCAGAGGUCGCUUAGUAUGGCAUGGCGCUGGCCUUGAGAGCCUGUGUGUUGUUACACUCGAGGGUUCAAAUCCCUCUCUCUGCG